RNAcentral lists this ribosomal RNA (240 nucleotides) under uncultured eukaryote. Its description in RNAcentral is "partial 18S ribosomal RNA". It matches the Rfam family "Eukaryotic small subunit ribosomal RNA", at positions 1208 to 1456 of the family's 1831-position model. The record is from RNAcentral.
GGAAAUCUCACCCGGCCCGGACACCGCGAGGAUUGACAGACUGAGAGCUCUUUCUCGAUUCGGUGGGUGGUGGUGCAUGGCCGUUCUUAGUUGGUGGAGCGAUCUGUCUGGUUAAUUCCGAUAACGAACGAGACCCCAACCUGCUAACUAGCCCUCGGGUCCUGCUUCUGUUGGGCCCGACGGAAUGAUUCGCUUCUUAGAGGGACUCGCGGCGCCUAGCCGCACGAAGGGGGGCGAUAA